This 278-nucleotide long non-coding RNA is filed under the name Elaeis guineensis (African oil palm). RNAcentral describes it as "long non-coding RNA (EGUI_LNC055011)". The record is from RNAcentral. Lineage: Eukaryota; Viridiplantae; Streptophyta; Magnoliopsida; Arecales; Arecaceae.
AACUUAGAUAGAGUCUGGUUACUGUAGAAGUCUUACUGUUGGGGAAGCUCGGCCAUUGAUGAAGUCCGAAGGAAGUUCGGAGUAGAGUCGAUCGUGGCUGAAAGAAGUUUGGAAGAGAUUCAGAGAAUAGUCGAUCACUGCAGAAAAUCAACUGAUAUUGAAGCUCAAAGAGUAUUUGGAAUAGCCUGAUACGUGAAUGGAGGAGCCCAUUAUCGGAGAAGUCCAGAUGGUAAUAUGAAAGCUCGGACGAUCGAGAGAGUUCAGAAAGAUGCCACACA